Molecule: ribosomal RNA, 166 nt
Filed under: Vigna racemosa var. racemosa
Lineage: Eukaryota; Viridiplantae; Streptophyta; Magnoliopsida; Fabales; Fabaceae
Description: 5.8S ribosomal RNA
Rfam family: 5.8S ribosomal RNA
About the family: 5.8S ribosomal RNA (5.8S rRNA) is a component of the large subunit of the eukaryotic ribosome.
Source: RNAcentral
AUUAAAUGACUCUCGGCAACGGAUAUCUCGGCUCUUGCAUCGAUGAAGAACGUAGCGAAAUGCGAUACUUGGUGUGAAUUGCAGAAUCCCGUGAACCAUCGAGUCUUUGAACGCAAGUUGCGCCUGAAGCCAUUAGGUUGAGGGCACGCCUGCCUGGGUGUCACAU